CAGGAGUAUACCAAGAUCUCACAUAAGGCAGCUGAUCUGGUGGAUGACUAUCUAGCACAGGAGCUGUGUGAGAGUUAGCAUGCCUCUGGGCAUUAGAUGUUUUUCUGUUAAAUGAGGAAAGAUACCUGAAUCUUUCUUGGAGAGUUGAGCUCAGUAAGUGACUAUGCGAAGACCAGGAAAGGUAUUAACGUUAAACCAGUGCAGCACCAACAGGAAGCUAAACUCAAGUCUUUACUUAACUAAGAAGAUACUACUGACACAACUGGCCACAGUGGAAGUCCUGUUACUGGAGGCUCUCCGCAGCCCCAUUGGGGUGGUUCCAGCAGAUCUAAAAAGUCAGCUGUCCCCCUCCUCGGUACAGUACCAUUCGCAGAAAUCAGAGCAGGAGUGCAGAGCGAGAAAGGGCAGAGACAACAAGAGCAGAAGAAAGCAGUGUGCCUGCGAGAGGGAUAUGAGGAGAAAAAGAGAGACUUUUCUUUGAUGUAUUCGUUUCCUCUUAUUAGUAUCCAUCUAGUGGUGCUCAGGCCGAGACGGCUGACCUGUCCAAAAGUUAGUGAUCCACACACAAUCCACUCCCAAUAGUGCCAAAGUACAGACAUCACAGGACGAAAAUAGCAGCAGUUGAGAUGAAGGAGGAAGCCACGGGCUGCCAGAUGUGAGUGGGAAUAACCUAAGUUCACCCAAGUGGCAGAGGUACUGUCUUAGUUUGCAGAGAGUGAGGGAAAAACAUCUUAACAACCUCAUCCUCCCGCCUAUCUCACGGCUCUGCUGUGUUUUCUGUGCCGUGCUGAUAAAGACUGCCCGCGCUUGAAAGGGCCUGGCGGGCCCGGGGUCAGCCGCAGACAAUCUCUCUAAUUGCGUGGGUCUGGCUGACCUCCGCGUUGCGGGGCGAGCAGGGACCGCGGCAGACAGAGAGGACAAGGGAAAAGGCGGGGGAAACGUUCCUGCCACGGUGGCAGCCGGCUUAAAACUUGCUUCGGAUUGCUCCCCAGAGACGGUGCCCGCGCCACGCUCAGCUCUGAUGGAAGGAGGCAAGGAGACAUUUUGCCCAGGCAGCAAGUCGAUAGCUGCGCUCAUAGGUAUCGCCUCCUGAUAAUGCCUUCUGACAAACGGCUGUCAGCGCUCCACAAACUUGGCUCAAGAAGGCAGAAAAUGAAAACUUGCUGCGAGUUGUUGCUGCUGCUUCACGUAGUUGCUCGGCCUGCACCAUCUCCUCUCUGGGCACCCAUGUUCCUGAGGAGAAGGAGAUCUCACGGGUGGGCAGCGGUAACGUGAGCCACGGGCUCUGAAAGCCAUGGGAAAGAGAAGCACGGGGAGUAAGUACUCAAAACCACUGAACAGCUCUGUAGUGUAUUUUUAGAGUAAUUGUGGUGAGAAGUGGCAGGAUGUGCCUGAUGGGUUUGUGCCUGUGCUAGCCCAUGGAGCAGGCAGCUGAGAGGCAGCGUGCUGUGCCAGGAGCUGCAGCAGCAGCGUGCCCUCUGUGGCAGCAGGACCGUCGUGGUGGCUUGGCUGUGGCACCUCCUUGGUGGGACAGGGAGCUCCUGGAGUCAGGGAGCCCUCUGUGCUCACUACAUUUCAGGAGGCUGCGAUGCGCUGUAGUGUGUAAGGACGUUGCCUGUUAACUUCCCGGCCUGGCACGAGGAAAGGUAGAGCCUCCUCCAUGUGCAGAGGAGCUCAGUGCCUGCAGUUGCCACUGACCCUUCUGGUUGCUCCGGAUGUCCUGCUCAGUCAUGGGGAUCCUCAUGGAAAUACGGACUAGUCCCUGCAGCAUGGGAGAAGCACUGCACUACACCUUCCAGCCACGACACAGAAAGCUGGCGGGCUCUGGGCUCCUCCCUGGUGAUGCUGCCCUGCUGGGCCAGGCAGCGUGAGAGCCCGCACCAAGCGCAGGACGAGGAGCCUUAACGCGCUCAACUGGGCUGCUUGGCCUGGCAGUUCCGAGCGGAUUAUCCACUUGAAGCUCACGCAGUUGUUGGUGAACUUUGACACAAAAGGAUUUGGAAAGCUUUAGGGCCAGAUAAGCACAGCAGUGCGGGUGGGGAAGGGAUUUCAGGAACGGCUCAGUCCGUCUCCUGCUGUGAAAUGGGAUCAGUGCAUCCAGACUGCUGGUGGUUCUCUGCUCACCUGAUAGCAAAAAAAAAAAAAAAAAAAAAGAAAGUGAAAAAGUGUUGGCGUGGCAUUGGAGGCAGCUUGUUUCAGGGCUUAUAAUUACAAAGUUCUUCCUCAAGGCCAGACUCCUAUCUCCCAGUCAUCGGAGCUGGGCAUCCUCACCCUGGCACCAUGGACCUGGAGGAGGAUUAGUUUGCUCCUCUACAUGAAACCCUUCACAUGACGGAAAUUCUCCGUAUUCACAAGGCAGCUCGCUCCAAGAAGUCUCGGAACAAGAGCCACCAUCCCUCCUGCCUCUGGCCAGCACGAAUCAGGCCUCAGUGACCAGUGGUCCAAGGAAACCUGACUGAAAGUCUGCAUAAAGCAGCAGCUGCAGUAAGCCACCAUGUUUAACCUGUACUCGGCCCCGGCUGUGCUACUUUUUAUGGGAGUCCAUUAUUUUUUGAACUUUGAAGGUUUCCAUAAACUUUGUCCAUCUAUUAUCAUGCGGCGCAAUACCAGUUCACUGUAGUUUCUGUAUUUGUGUUGUCUGACACAGCACACUUGUGACUUCCCUAAUCCAUAUAAUCACAAUCUGCUGUCUGACUUGAAAGUUCUGGUGACACGGAAAGCGAUUUUAUUUAAUACUGAGAGUCGCUCACUCAGAGAGGCUUACUGGGAGAGGAGUACCACAAACUUCUCUUUAUUUGGAGUGACUGAGGGGUCGGUUUCAUUGAAAUAUAAGCUUAUCCUGAAGUUCAUUUCAUUUCCCUACUUGAAGAAGCAUGGUGAUGGCAGACUGAGGGUCUUAUGCUCAGCAGACAGCUCGCUGCAGGCUGGUGGUUGUGUGCACUGAAACCAGCGGCACUGGAGGACACCUGCCAUGGGUAGCAGCAUCCUCCUGCAGCAGCCCAGCUUGCGGAGGGACCCGCAGCCCCACUGGAGAGGGCAUUCCCUAGUUCCUUCCAGCCCAAGGUGGUGGUGUCAGGGUGCUGAGUCGGUGGGGCUGUGCACAAAGCAGCCUGCUCAUGGACUGGUGCCCUUUGGGGGUCUGUGGGGUGUGUGCUGGUACUGCCCUCACUCCCGGGGCUGGUUUGUGGUGGGGCUGGAGGGUGCCAGCAGUCCAUGAGAGUGCCGGGCAAGCUGUUGUGCUGUUACGUUUCGCUACCUAUCGUUGUCAUGUCACCUGUAAUGCAUGAAUUAUACCCCCAUAGUGUGUAAUUAUAUUUCUCCUCCCAGCCCUGCUCAAGGAACGAUGGAAGGAUGGAGCUGUUAAUAUUAAAACCAGCACAUCUCCCUCAAAAAAAGUUAGAGGUCACACCUUAAUUCCUAGUGCGUGAGUGUGGUUAAUCAGGAGAUGAUGGGACUAGAAUGAGUAUGGGGACAGAAAUAUCCUGCACAAUUUCUUGUGGAAUUUAAUUAGAAAGGAAGUAUUAAUAGCAUCUGCAUGUGCAACUCUGUUUUGCCUUGCAAUAUGAAUAGCCUUACCCAGAGACAGGCUGAUGGAAAACCCAUUGAACUUCUCUGUAUUUCCUUUUUUUUUUUUUUUAAUAAAGGAAAAUAAUGAGCUGAAAUCA
This 3665-nucleotide long non-coding RNA is filed under the name Anas platyrhynchos platyrhynchos (common mallard). Its description in RNAcentral is "lncRNA (ENSAPLG00000025588.1)". The record is from RNAcentral. Lineage: Eukaryota; Metazoa; Chordata; Aves; Anseriformes; Anatidae.